GUUGCUCCUCUGUGUUGCCUGAUUCAUGCACAUGUGCAUCCAUGCUCGCAGACCCCUAUUUAGUCUCUGAUUGGCUGAGUCUGUGGCGACAGGCAUACUGUAAGGCUGUAUGUGUGCGCAUGGCUGUGGAGACCUUCAGCUUGAAGGUGUGGGGGGAUCAGAGUCAGAGGAGGUGAUUGGCUGUUAACGAAAGUCACAGUAUCAGCUCGUCCUUAACCCACUGCCCUUCUUAUUUCCCCCUUCCCCCACGCUUGGCUCUGUUCACUUGGACAUGACUUAUAGAUCGGCUCUCUUUCUGCACGCCUUUCGUGCCCCCCACCCCCCCACGACGUGGCGCCCUCCUCCCUUUUCAAAUGUUAAAGAAUGUGACUUGAGGACGCGAGAGCGCAAACUAAUCGGGCUGUCAAUAUCGUCCCUCCCUACCAGAAAGGUAAAUGCGUUUUUUAAAAGGUCAGAAAUUUGCCACAAUACUCGUUUCCAGCGCGUGCUGUCUGCGCACGCAGAUCGCGGAGAGAACUACCAUCACAUCAUAACCCUGUGAGGUUUCGCUCUCGAGGAUGGAGAGCACAGAGGCAAAUCUGACUGGGAGAAAGCUGUGUACAGUGGUUGUGUGACUGGAGGAGCUAUUGGCUUUCGCUCUGGUCUGAAGGCUGGUGUUCUGGGAUGUGGAGGCUUUGCUGCAUUCUCUGCUGCAAUUAAAUAUUACUUGCGGUGAAGCUCUAUGGAAUGGCUUGAUGGACAAAAACAUAAAUAUUACACAUGUGGACCAGAGAAAGAAGACUCGUGCUGUGAGCUUGCUAACCCUGAUGUUUCCCUGCACAUCAAGGAUUGCUGUAAAAGCAUUUCUCAUGGUGAAUCUUCAAAGACAGUGCAGAGUGGGUCUGCUUCAGUGGCGCACUGAUCCGGUGACGAAAGCUGAACUUGUGUGAACUUUACUCUGGGUCUGUAAAAACUCAGAUGAGCACUCUUCUGCCUGUAAAACAUGGGUUUGAUGUGUAAGUAACUAAUCCACACCAGGAUUAUUUAUAAUAAAAGCACUUUUUAAAAUUGUG
Molecule: long non-coding RNA, 1052 nt
Organism: Oreochromis niloticus (Nile tilapia)
Lineage: Eukaryota; Metazoa; Chordata; Actinopteri; Cichliformes; Cichlidae
Product: mitochondrial import inner membrane translocase subunit Tim22
Exons: 3
Source: RefSeq, a predicted model, not a curated record